UGGGGAAUUUUGGACAAUGGGGGCAACCCUGAUCCAGCCAUUCCGCGUGAGUGAAGAAGGCCUUCGGGUUGUAAAGCUCUUUCGCGAGGGAAGAAAACUUACACAAUAACACUGUGUGAGGUUGACGGUACCUUGAUAAGAAGCACCGGCUAACUACGUGCCAGCAGCCGCGGUAAUACGUAGGGUGCGAGCGUUAAUCGGAAUUACUGGGCGUAAAGCGUGCGCAGGCGGUUUGGUAAGUCAGAUGUGAAAUCCCCGAGCUCAACUUGGGAACUGCGUUUGAAACUACCAGACUAGAAUAUGUCAGAGGGGGGUAGAAUUCCACGUGUAGCAGUGAAAUGCGUAGAGAUGUGGAGGAAUACCAAUGGCGAAGGCAGCCCCCUGG
This 385-nucleotide ribosomal RNA is filed under the name uncultured bacterium. RNAcentral's name for it is "bacterial SSU rRNA". It matches the Rfam family "Bacterial small subunit ribosomal RNA", at positions 355 to 732 of the family's 1533-position model. The record is from RNAcentral.